Molecule: long non-coding RNA, 1254 nt
Filed under: Junco hyemalis (dark-eyed junco)
Lineage: Eukaryota; Metazoa; Chordata; Aves; Passeriformes; Passerellidae
Description: lncRNA (ENSJHYG00000010680.1)
Source: RNAcentral
GGUCAGGGACAGGGAUGGGGACAGGAGGGGACACAAUGGGAUGGGGACAGGGAUAGGGACAGGGAAUACGGACAGGAGAGGACAGGGACACGAAAGGGACAAGGACAGGGACAGAAGGGGACACACAGGGAUGGGGACAGGGCUGGGGACAUGAAGGGACAGAGAAUAAGGUCAAGAGGGGACAGGGACAGGAUGGGACACAAAGGGACAGGGACGGGAGGGGACAGGGAAUAAGGAGAGGAGAGGACAGGGACAGGAGGGGACACAAACACAAAGGGACAGGGAAUAAGGACAGCAGGGGACAGGGACAGGGACACAUCCCCUGUUCCCCGCCCCACCCCCGUGUCCCCUCAGCCCCAUGUCCCCCUGAGGAGGGGACAGAAGCCACCUCUGACCGCUGAGAGGGGCGGGUUGGGGACACGGAUGUCACCUCCGGGCAUCCUUGGCUUGGAGCAUCCUGUCCCCUCUGCCCCAUCCUUGUCCCCAUCCCUUUCGCCAUUUUUGUCGCCUUUGUCCCAUCCCCUGUCCCCUCCCUGUCCCCUCUGUCCCCGUCACGCCACUCCCAUCUCAAUUCUCUCAAUUUUAUUCCAUUUUUUCCUUUUUUUCUUUUUCUUAAUUUUUUUUUUUUCCUGGUUUUGGGUUCGUUUUCCUUUCGCUCUGUUCUGAACCCCCAAAAAACAACCCCAAAAAAUCCCAAAUGUGGGGGCGGGGCCGCUUUUGCGGCCGGGCGGGGACAGAGGGUGACAAUGACACCGCGGGGGGACUGGGAUGAGACUGGGGAAACUGGGAAUGAACUGGGAGAACUGGGAAUAGGGACUGGGAAUGGGGACGCCAAACUGGGAGGGUCUGGAAAUGGGGUGGCUGUAAAAAAAGGGCUCAACCCCCAAAAUAAAGCAAUAAAACCAGGGGAGAGUGGAACAGAGGGAGGGAUUUGGGGCAUUUUGUGGGGUUUUGAAAUAUUUUAUGGAAUUUUGUAAGAUUUUAUGGGUUUUCCGAAGAAAUUUUGUAGGAUUCGGAGCGGUUUUAGGGUUUUAUGGGCAUCGGGAGCCGCUCCUGCUGUCGCUUUUGCGGACUGGCUGUCGCUGUCCCAGUUCCCGUGGUGGCCCCGCGAGGGAGCUCCAGGACAGGAAUUUUGGGGGAUUUUGAAAUAUUUUAUGGAUUUUUGUGGGAAUUCUGUGUGAUUUUGUGGUAUUUUGUAGAAAUUCGAAACUUUUUAAGGCUUUUUUGGGCUUCUGAGCCGCUCCUGCCGUCACU